GAAUGCUGACAUAAGUAACGAUAAAGCGGGUGAAAAGCCCGCUCGCCGGAAGACCAAGGGUUCCUGUCCAACGUUAAUCGGGGCAGGGUGAGUCGACCCCUAAGGCGAGGCCGAAAGGCGUAGUCGAUGGGAAACGGGUUAAUAUUCCCGUACUUGGUGUUACUGCGAAGGGGGGACGGAGAAGGCUAUGUUGGCCGGGCGACGGUUGUCCCGGUUUAAGCGUGUAGGUGUGUGUUCCAGGUAAAUCCGGUUCACUUUAACACUGAGGCGUGAUGACGAGGCACUACGGUGCUGAAGCAACAAAUGCCCUGCUUCCAGGAAAAGCCUCUAAGCAUCAGGUAACAUCAAAUCGUACCCCAAACCGACACAGGUGGUCAGGUAGAGAAUACCAAGGCGCUUGAGAGAACUCGGGUGAAGGAACUAGGCAAAAUGGUGCCGUAACUUCGGGAGAAGGCACGCUGACAUGUAGGUGAAGUGAUUUACUCAUGGAGCUGAAGUCAGUCGAAGAUACCAGCUGGCUGCAACUGUUUAUUAAAAACACAGCACUGUGCAAACACGAAAGUGGACGUAUACGGUGUGACGCCUGCCCGGUGCCGGAAGGUUAAUUGAUGGGGUCAGCGCAAGCGAAGCUCCUGAUCGAAGCCCCGGUAAACGGCGGCCGUAACUAUAACGGUCCUAAGGUAGCGAAAUUCCUUGUCGGGUAAGUUCCGACCUGCACGAAUGGCGUAAUGAUGGCCAGGCUGUCUCCACCCGAGACUCAGUGAAAUUGAACUCGCUGUGAAGAUGCAGUGUACCCGCGGCAAGACGGAAAGACCCCGUGAACCUUUACUAUAGCUUGACACUGAACAUUGAGCCUUGAUGUGUAGGAUAGGUGGGAGGCUUUGAAGCGUGGACGCCAGUCUGCGUGGAGCCGGCCUUGAAAUACCACCCUUUAAUGUUUGAUGUUCUAACGUGGACCCGUGAUCCGGGUUGCGGACAGUGUCUGGUGGGUAGUUUGACUGGGGCGGUCUCCUCCUAAAGAGUAACGGAGGAGCACGAAGGUUGGCUAAUCCUGGUCGGACAUCAGGAGGUUAGUGCAAUGGCAUAAGCCAGCUUGACUGCGAGCGUGACGGCGCGAGCAGGUGCGAAAGCAGGUCAUAGUGAUCCGGUGGUUCUGAAUGGAAGGGCCAUCGCUCAACGGAUAAAAGGUACUCCGGGGAUAACAGGCUGAUACCGCCCAAGAGUUCAUAUCGACGGCGGUGUUUGGCACCUCGAUGUCGGCUCAUCACAUCCUGGGGCUGAAGUAGGUCCCAAGGGUAUGGCUGUUCGCCAUUUAAAGUGGUACGCGAGCUGGGUUUAGAACGUCGUGAGACAGUUCGGUCCCUAUCUGCCGUGGGCGCUGGAGAACUGAGGGGGGCUGCUCCUAGUACGAGAGGACCGGAGUGGACGCAUCACUGGUGUUCGGGUUGUCAUGCCAAUGGCACUGCCCGGUAGCUAAAUGCGGAAGAGAUAAGUGCUGAAAGCAUCUAAGCACGAAACUUGCCCCGA
RNAcentral lists this ribosomal RNA (1527 nucleotides) under Salmonella enterica subsp. enterica serovar Derby. RNAcentral's name for it is "partial 23S ribosomal RNA". It matches the Rfam family "Bacterial large subunit ribosomal RNA", at positions 1292 to 2802 of the family's 2925-position model. The record is from RNAcentral. RNAcentral also lists the same sequence under 1 other name. Lineage: Bacteria; Pseudomonadati; Pseudomonadota; Gammaproteobacteria; Enterobacterales; Enterobacteriaceae.